UUUACUGUAGCUUGACAUUGGGUCUUGGUACUACAUGUACAGGAUAGGUGGGAGGCUUUGAAACCAGGACGCCAGUUUUGGCGGAGCCAUCCUUGGGAUACCGCCCUUGUAGUACUGGGACUCUAACCAUAGGCCAUGAAUCUGGUCUUGGGACACUGUCAGGUGGGCAGUUUGACUGGGGCGGUCGCCUCCCAAAAGGUAACGG
Molecule: ribosomal RNA, 205 nt
Filed under: Clostridioides difficile
Lineage: Bacteria; Bacillati; Bacillota; Clostridia; Peptostreptococcales; Peptostreptococcaceae
Description: partial 23S ribosomal RNA
Rfam family: Bacterial large subunit ribosomal RNA
Source: RNAcentral